UGGCUCUCGCAUCGAUGAAGAACGCAGCGAAAUGCGAUACGUAAUGUGAAUUGCAGAAUUCAGUGAAUCAUCGAAUCUUUGAACGCAUAUUGCGCUCUCUGGUAUUCCGGAGAGCAUGCUUGUUUGAGUAUCAGUAAACACCUCAAGCACUAUAAAUGAUUUUAAAUUAUUUUUAGUGGUUGGAUUUGAGUAAUCCCAACACUCAGUGAUGAUGUGGCGGGUUGCUUGAAAUGCAGGUGCAGCAGGAUUUUUCAUCUGAGCUAAAGGCAUAUUUAUUUAGUCCCUUCAAAAAGGAUUAUUACUUUGCUUCAGCUAAUUUUAAAGGAUGGAUUUUCCGUAUUUUGCUGACUGAUGCAGGAAAUACUACAGUGGAAUUUUGUCCGCUGUAUUUCUCGAUCUCAAAUCAAGUAAGACUACCCGCUGA
Molecule: unclassified non-coding RNA, 424 nt
Filed under: uncultured fungus
Lineage: Eukaryota; Fungi
Description: partial contains 5.8S ribosomal RNA and internal transcribed spacer 2
Rfam family: 5.8S ribosomal RNA (bases 1-133)
Source: RNAcentral